Molecule: long non-coding RNA, 1452 nt
Organism: Cynoglossus semilaevis (tongue sole)
Lineage: Eukaryota; Metazoa; Chordata; Actinopteri; Pleuronectiformes; Cynoglossidae
Exons: 4
Source: RefSeq, a predicted model, not a curated record
GGUAGGUUCUAUAACUAAAUCACAACAGAAUAGUGCAGUGAAUGGCUUAUAAAAGACCAACGUUGAUAAUGUCCCGAGGCAGAUAUAUUAAUACAAUUAAUUGGAGUUAAUUUGUUAAUAUAUUUAUUUGUAGGAGGUCAAAGGUCAAUAUGAUCAUGCUUGCUACCAGGAACAACAAACAAUCCACAUUGUAUUUGUAUUAAGUAAAGACCAUAGAUUUGUAUGUGAUAUCUGUGGUGUCAGGGUUGCAGUGAUGACAUAAACGCAGGUCCUUUUCAUGAGCCCAGAACUUUCAAUGUACAUAUUUUAAUUUCUCCGGGGUUUGAAAUUUCCACGAGACCAGGACAGGAGUUGUAGUCCUCCACUUGUUCCUAUGCUUCUAUAACGGAGUCAGUUAUUGGCACUAUAAACUAUUAUAUAUACCAAAUAAUUUUUUGUCCAGUUUUUGUCCACAGGCCAUCCCAUUUAUCUUUAGUUAUGGUGCUAACAACCUAGACUACUGAGGGAACCAUGAUACACUGAGUACUCUGUCCUCCCCACUCUUCUAAGAAACACAUACACAUUAAUUACUGUUUGGACAAUGACCUUGUCUAGUUCUCGUUUGUCAUGUUCUUAUCUCGCCUUGUCACUGUUGUUUACUCCCAGCUGUGUCCAGCAUUUGAGUCCCUCAGUCCGGUCUUGUCGUCCAGUCUUUAUCCAGUCCUAAUCUUUUCUUUUCUGGACAGAUUGAUAAUAUCUUUUAUCUCUGCUGCUUAGACUCAUUCUAUUUUCCAAUUAUUUUUAACAAAACAGUGAGACAAGUUGACCGUACAGAGGAACAAGUGAUAUAUCAUCAGCAAAGUCUCUGUGUGGGUUGAGGAAGCGGUUAAAAUGCCACUGGCACACCAUGAGACAUAAAGGCAGCAUAAAGAGAGCACAGAUUCCUGCCAUGAUGUAGGCAAUUACCAUGAGCGUGGACUCAUCUGUCUGAGGUACAAAGAGAUGACUGGAAAGAUGUGCCAGGGUGUCGUGCCCGCCUGCCAACAUACGAGCUGCUCUCCCAGCCAGAAUCCAGUGGGAAACUGCUCUGUCUAGAAAGAAGAGCCGAUGGUCUUCCACCGACACUAGCCAUUGGUCAAGAGUGUUCAUGGAGUGAACUAGUCAUUUUCCUGAUCUGCAAAUUUGUUUUGGCACAAGUUUUAACCCUUGCUGAUGAAACCCUUGUCCAGACCUUGGACCUACCACGAGGAGGAGUUCAGUGGCUGGGCUUUGAUUUUUUUUUUGAUCUUUGAGUUGACACAGGUUUGAAAAAACACGACUUUAAUUUUACAUUUAAUAUUUAAAUGAAGUAUAACAUUUCCCCUUAAAGGCUCUAGUUUAACAGCAACAAUAAUUUGCUGCCAUAGGACAUAAAGAGAAUCAAUGUUUUCCAAAUGACUAAGUUUAGCUGUGACUUGACUUCAUGUGAAAGAU